Molecule: long non-coding RNA, 1147 nt
Filed under: Lathyrus oleraceus (garden pea)
Lineage: Eukaryota; Viridiplantae; Streptophyta; Magnoliopsida; Fabales; Fabaceae
Description: Pisum sativum (pea) long non-coding RNA (PSAT_LNC033633)
Source: RNAcentral
UUUAAUUUUCGUUCCAAUCAAAAACAGAGAGACUAACAUAAUCAUAACAUAAGCAAAUUUUACUAUUUGUACCAUAUUUCUCCUCGUUAUUUUUAUAAAUUAUUUUGUAACUUUGUAGUUUAUGAAUAAGAGUGGAUCCUCGCCUUUUAUAAUUUUUACUUGUGGACACUUAGUUGUAAAAUAAAUCUUAAAAUUAAAUUAAUUAGUAUAUAACUUUUCGAUACAUCAUUUUUUUGUCUUUGUCUCUUCAGCACAUCCAAAAAAGAUGUAAAAUAAAACAUGUCUAUCAUAAAAAUUUAUUCUUCUUAUAAUAAAAUUUUAAUCAUUUUAUAUUAUUUUACCUCGGAUGUGAAUGGGAGAUUACCUUAGUUAUAGAGAUGGGAUACCAAAGAGCGUCAUAAAAAACUAACAUCUUAUCGAUCGGUUUUGAAUAACCGAGGGGAAAGGUGAAAAAGUCAUUCAUUUGAUCCCCAGUGUAGGUCGGAUUUUUUUAAAAGUUAUAGAGAUGGGAUACCAAAGAGCGUCAUAAAAAACUAACAUCUUAUCGAUCGGUUUUGAAUAACCGAGGGGAAAGGUGAAAAAGUCAUUCAUUUGAUCCCCAGUGUAGGUCGGAUUUUUUUAAUAACUGAGGGGUAUAACCAAUGUUUUUUAAAAUUCCAUUUUAACUGACCUUGAUCAUUUUUUAUAUAGAUCCUACAAAUUAGGUGAGAGAAUCAUAUCAAUUGUAUUUUAUUUAGAAUAUAAAACAAAAUACCAAUUUUACAUUGUUUAUAAAAGCAAAUGUACAAUCCUUGCAAUACUUAUCGUGAUAUUUGGUAUACACAAAACCUAUGCCAAGAGAACCUAUACAUAUUUUCACCUAAAUUGACAAAACAUUUACACAAUGCUAGUGUAUAGAUAAAAAUCAAGAAAAACUAGUGUUUACUAGAUUCAUAAUGACAUAAGAAGACACUUGCACAACGUGAUCGGAUGUCAUCUAUAUCCUCUUGUGGAAAUGGUGUUUUAUUGCUAGACGCUUAUAAUUUGAACAAAAUUUAAAUUAUGAUAAGAUAACUACAACAAUAAUAAAUAACAAUUAUACAUAAAUUACAUGUAUAUGGAUAAAGUUAAUACCUUAUUCAAUGAAUUAAUAAUGCCAUUAGAGAAA